Molecule: ribosomal RNA, 496 nt
Filed under: uncultured bacterium
Lineage: Bacteria
Description: partial 16S ribosomal RNA
Rfam family: Bacterial small subunit ribosomal RNA
Source: RNAcentral
AUGAACGCUGGCGGCGUGCCUAAUACAUGCAAGUCGAGCGAACGGACGAGAAGCUUGCUUCUCUGAUGUUAGCGGCGGACGGGUGAGUAACACGUGGAUAACCUACCUAUAAGACUGGGAUAACUUCGGGAAACCGGAGCUAAUACCGGAUAAUAUUUUGAACCGCAUGGUUCAAAAGUGAAAGACGGUCUUGCUGUCACUUAUAGAUGGAUCCGCGCUGCAUUAGCUAGUUGGUAAGGUAACGGCUUACCAAGGCAACGAUGCAUAGCCGACCUGAGAGGGUGAUCGGCCACACUGGAACUGAGACACGGUCCAGACUCCUACGGGAGGCAGCAGUCGGGAAUCUUCCGCAAUGGGCGAAAGCCUGACGGAGCAACGCCGCGUGAGUGAUGAAGGUCUUCGGAUCGUAAAACUCUGUUAUUAGGGAAGAACAUAUGUGUAAGUAACUGUGCACAUCUUGACGGUACCUAAUCAGAAAGCCACGGCUAACUACGUG